Molecule: ribosomal RNA, 441 nt
Filed under: uncultured bacterium
Lineage: Bacteria
Description: partial 16S ribosomal RNA
Rfam family: Bacterial small subunit ribosomal RNA
Source: RNAcentral
CCUACGGGGGGCUGCAGUGGGGGAUAUUGCACAAUGGGGGAAACCCUGAUGCAGCGACGCCGCGUGGGUGAAGAAGUAUUUCGGUAUGUAAAGCCCUAUCAGCAGGGAAGAAAGAAGACGGUACCUGACUAAGAAGCCCCGGCUAACUACGUGCCAGCAGCCGCGGUAAUACGUAGGGGGCGAGCGUUAUCCGGAUUCACUGGGUGUAAAGGGAGCGUAGACGGCCGUGCAAGCCAGGAGUGAAAGCCCGGGGCCCAACCCCGGGACUGCUCUUGGAACUGUGCGGCUGGAGUGCGGGAGGGGCAGGCGGAAUUCCUGGUGUAGCGGUGAAAUGCGUAGAUAUCAGGAGGAACACCGGCGGCGAAGGCGGCCUGCUGGACCGAGACUGACGUUGAGGCUCGAAAGCGUGGGGAGCGAACAGGAUUAGAUACCCGUGUAGUC